UUACGACUUUUUUACGACAACAUGUUCUUACUUUUCUCUGUUUACGUCCUAGUCCUGUUCAACACAUAUAUCCCUAAUCUUUGUCGUGGCUCAAUGUUAUUACCUUAUUAAACCUAAAAUGUCUAAACUACAUUCGUUGAAUGCGUUUCUUACUGCCCGAUUAACUGCGGCGGCUGUGGAUAUAUUCGGGGCAGUGGAGAAGACUAUAACAGCGUACCAGGAAGAAGUCUCCAGAUCAAAAGUGGAGAACGACCAUCUACGGAGGCUGUUGCUAGAUUUCGGUUUCAAACCUGAUAGAGAAUCACAAAUACCAGACCCCCAGCAACUCACUGUCUCUGUCUCUGGAGAGGAGCUUCCCUCUAAGCAGGAGUGGAGUGAUCAAGAGGACACAGAGACCAUAUUCAUUCCCCCCUGUGUGGAAAGUGCCAGUGAUCAGGACUCACCCCAGAGCUCAUACCUUUACCAAAUUGGGAAGAACAGCAAGAGGGACUCUCUUCCCACCAACUCAACAGAACCGAUCAAAACCAAUCAUGAUGGAGAGGACUACGGGGCAUCAGAAUCAACCAGUAACUCUCAGACCAUGUCAAAGUCAAAACAUACACAGGCAAAGAAAGAAGAAAGUCCUCUUGACACUGGGAUAACCAGUGAGCUGAGAGCACCAAUGGUGGCUCACACAGGUGAUAGGCCAUACAAGUGCCCUGUGUGCAGGAAAAGGUUUACUAAUAACAACCAUUUAAAAACACAUCAGAGAAUUCACACAGGGGAGAGGCCACAUUGGUGCAAAGAAUGUGGUAAGUGCUUCAACCGCAAGGGGGAUCUGGGCACACACAUGAGGACUCACACAGGAGAGAAACCGUACCAGUGCAGCGUUUGUGGCAAAAGCUUCAGGCGAAACCGACUGAAUGAGCAUAUGAGGGUACACACAGGGGAAAGACCCUAUCGGUGUGCCGACUGUGAGAAGGGCUUUAUUUCAGUAAGUGACCUAAAACGCCACCAGCGCAUUCACACGGGAGAAAAGCCUUUUAGGUGUGACAGUUGCGGAAAAUGCUUCAGUCAGAUGACAACCUUGAAGAAACAUAUGAGGACUGUUCAUAAGAAGGUUCAAUUACAGAGCAGUGAGGAAAGCCCAGAUCCCUGCUAGCAUUACGGACUCCUGUUCAUUUAUGUGAUAAUGACAAACAGCACAGGACAUAUCUUAUGUUAACCUUGGUACCAUCUGCGUGUGCCUUAGACAAUUUCUCUGACUAUCGCUGUCAUUCAUUCAUGCAUGCAAUUUUGUGUGUUGUAAAUCUCUUCUACAGAACAGUUGCUUUCUUUCAGGACACUGCUCUAACACCAAGAUCUACCAGAUGACAAUCAUCAUGUGUUGUUGUUACUUGACAUUAAAGUGGAUAUACUGGGGGCUUUCAAACUCUGUGCCAACAUUGAUAGAAUGAAAUAAUAAUACUUUUUUGGGGGGGUCUUAUUUGUCCUAUUGCACACAAGUGUGUAAUGGAAACGUGUUUGUUGCAUAUCCCAACUGACCCUAAGACACCCUCAGUGAGUGGGGUUACGGCCAGGGUCACCCUUGUCCAGUUCCCCUGGGGCAAUUGGGUUAAGCACUUUGCUCAAGGGCCCAGCAACAGAUUUAUUUCACCUUGUCGGCUCCGGGAUUCAACCAGUGACCUUUCAGUUGCUGGCCCAACACUCUAACCCCGAGGCUACCUGCUGCCCAAGUUUGGAACAGUCACAAAUCCCUCGCUAAAGCAUGUGCAGAAACCUGCAACUAACUCAUUGCCAUGUGACCAAACUCUUGGGGUUGUUUUUACACAUCCAGAUUAUGCCUAGUCCUGGACCAUAACAUACUUUCAACAAUCUCUUCAACAAGAAUGAUUUUGAAUCCAGGACUAGGUUUAACCUGUAUUCGGGAAAGCGGCCCCUGGUAUUUUCGUUUGAGAUGUUUUGCCAGGCCUAAUGUUAGGUUGUUAAUCAGAGCAAUGAACUAAAAAGUGUCCAACACACUGUUUGUCAUAUCCUGUAUGUACCCUGAAUAUACAUACACAAAGACAUCUAUCAAGGCAAAAUAGUUACGUUGUUUUUUAUUAUUGUUAUCUUUAUUAUAAAUGUUAGCUUUUUCAUUUGUUUUUGUAAACCACAUUAACAAGUAUGAUUUACGUAGAUAAUUGCAUUCCAUACUUGAAUUUUAUAGUCGAACUGAAUGUUCCCCAUUACUUCUGUGCAUGGCUGACUUGUUCAACAGUCUCAUAAGUUCUUCAGCUCAGCUAAAUAUUGUAAACUAAUAUGUUUAUCAAGUUAUGUAGGUAAGAUUUUGUUAAUUCAUUACAGAUUAUAUCCUGCAUUAUCUAUUACAGAUGGACUUUGUACUACAUUAUAUUCAUCUAUUCAAAUAUGAAGUGCAUGAGCCUACAACCUUGACACAACCAACAAUCUUGGUAUUUUCCUUUGAGUUUCUUUGCUUUUAGUAUGUUUUCAUAAUCAGAGCAAUGAAAAAAGACAUACUGUGUACAACACCUGAUGCAUGCACCUUAAAUAUACACAAGAGGUCUAUGAACUACUUCCCCGACAAGUCAUUCUAUUGGCCAAUUCAAGUAGCAGUACGAGGCGUGAGAGCAAGUAUCGUUCUCCAUUGGACGAGAGCAACUUGUUGCUUCAAACCGAUUUCAAACAGCCAACGUGCGCGCCCCUGUCUCUCCAGCUUCCGAGCGCCGCCGUCCACACCGCGCUUUCGUCGAUCCAAAAUUCCGUCUGUCUCACGUGCUUUGUGAAUAUAAAAGCUCUCUUGUUUCCCUUCAUCAUGAGUAGUGUGUCACCAGACAAACGGCGAAAGAUGGAGUCGGCGUUGGAGCAGCUGAAGAAACACACGGUGGUCGUGGCGGACACCGGAGACUUCAACGCCAUUGAAGAGUACAAGCCCCAGGAUGCCACCACCAACCCUUCCCUCAUCCUGGCUGCUGCCAAGAUG
RNA transcript from Oncorhynchus keta (chum salmon), 2962 nucleotides. It is a transcript of the gene named transaldolase, with no coding region annotated. The transcript is spliced from 3 exons. The record is from RefSeq and is a predicted model, not a curated record. Lineage: Eukaryota; Metazoa; Chordata; Actinopteri; Salmoniformes; Salmonidae.